GCUCAGUAAACCAGUCAUGAUUCACUCGAGUAUACAUGACUGUCUUUGGAUAACUGUGGUAAUCCUAGAGCUAAUACAUGCAACCAAGUCCCGACCAGCCUGUCUGGAAAGGACGCUUUUAUUAGAUCAAGACCAAUCGCCCGGCUCGUCCGGGCGUUGCCUUGGUGACUCUAGGUAACACAUCAGAUCGCAUGGCCUCGCGCCGGCGACUUAUCCUUCAAAUGCCUGACUUAUCAACUGUCGAUGGUAGACUCUAUGUCUACCAUGGUUGUAACGGGUAACGGGGAAUCAGGGUUCGAUUCCGGAGAGGGAGCCUGAGAAACGGCUACCACAUCCAAGGAAGGCAGCAGGCACGCAAAUUACCCACUCCCGGAACGGGGAGGUAGUGACAAAAAAUAACGAUACGGGACUCAUUUGAGGCCCCGUAAUCGGAAUGAGUACACUUUAAAUCCUUUAACAAGGAUCCAUUGAAGGGCAAGUCUGGUGCCAGCAGCCGCGGUAAUUCCAGCUUCAAUAGCGUAUAUUAAAGUUGUUGCGGUUAAAAAGCUCGUAGUUGGUUCUGCGUGCUACGCUGUCGGUUCGCCGCCUGUCGGUGUAACUGGCAUGCCGUGGCAUGUCCUGCCGGUGGCGUACGGGAGCUUUGCCAGGUGUCGACAACGGGUCUAAUAGCUCGAUGUCGGAGGCCGGAGGUCCAACCCGUGCGCCUACUCUAUCCUACCUAGGUGCUCUUCACCGAGUGUCGAGGUAGGCCGGUACGUUUACUUUGAACAAAUUAGAGUGCUCAAAGCAGGCUGAAAUUUCUGCCUGAAUAGUGGUGCAUGGAAUAAUAAAACAGGACCUUGGUUCUAUUUUGUUGGUUCUUAGGAACACAAGGUAAUGAUCAAUACGGACAGGCGGGGGCAUUCGUAUUGCGACGUUAGAGGUGAAAUUCUUGGAUCGUCGCAAGACGCACAAGAGCGAAAGCAUUUGCCCAGCCAGCGAUCCGCCGAUGUUCCUCCGAUGACUCGGCGGGGAGCUUCUUCCCGGGAAACCAAAGCUUUUGGGUUCCGGGGGAAGUAUGGUUGCAAAGCUGAAACUUAAAGGAAUUGACGGAAGGGCACCACCAGGAGUGGAGCCUGCGGCUUAAUUUGACUCAACACGGGAAACCUCACCAGGCCAGGACAUUGGAAGGAUUGACAGAUUGAUAGCUCUUUCUUGAUUCAGUGGGUAGUGGUGCAUGGCCGUUCUUAGUUGGUGGAACGAUUUGUCUGGUUAAUUCCGAUAACGAACGAGACUCUAGCCUAUUAACUAGGCGUCAUCCGGUGUCCCUGCCACCGGCGACAAUCAUUCUUCUUAAGGGGACAGGCGGCUUAUAGCCGCACGAGAUUGAGCAAUAACAGGUCUGUGAUGCCCUUAGAUGUCCUGGGCCGCACGCGCGCUACACUGAAGGAUUCAGCGUGUGCGCCCCUGGCCGUGAGGUCUGGGUAACCCAGUUAACCUCCUGCGUGCUAGGAAUUGGGGCUUGCAAUUGUUCCCCAUGAACGAGGAAUUCCCAGUAAGCGCGAGUCAUUAGCUCGCGUUGAUUACGUCCCUGCCCUUUGUACACACCGCCCGUCGCUACUACCGAUUGAAUGAUUUAGUGAGGUCUUCGGACUGGCGGUAAUUAUUAUCGACUUGUCGGUAUUAAUGAACGUUGGAAAGAUGACCAAACUUGAUCAUUUAGAGGAAGUAAAAGUCGUAACAAGGUUUCCGUA
Molecule: ribosomal RNA, 1733 nt
Filed under: Polymerus amurensis
Lineage: Eukaryota; Metazoa; Arthropoda; Insecta; Hemiptera; Miridae
Description: SSU rRNA
Rfam family: Eukaryotic small subunit ribosomal RNA
Source: RNAcentral